UCAACCCGUGUGUUUUUUCCUGUCAGUUUAACUUCUCCAAACUUUUGUUUAACAAUAACCAGAAAUUCUCAGAAAUAGGAUAGUGCAAAGCUGCUCUUCCUUGUCACCACCCUGUCAUCUCUCUGGAAUUCCUGUAACAAUGCAAAUGGUAGCUCUUAGCAGAGGCCAGAAGUUGGGGUGCGGGGGUGGGGGGGUGGAAGGAUUCCUCCAUUUCUUUGUCAGCCCUCCUGAGUCUAUUACUUGACAUUAUUAAUUUAUCUAUUCCUCUUUAUGAGUGACAUUUCCUAAGUUUUUUUCCAACAGGGUUUGUUUCGUACCCAGUGGAAACUUAAAACCAAAAAAGAAGUUGCCUGGCUGACAACUGUUGCCUUUGUUGGGAAAGAAGGAAAGAAGAGGCAUCCGAUGAAUUUCUGCAAAGGCAUUGAUAAUGGCUUUGAGGAAUGAAUAUGGCAGAUGGAUCAAAUCAAAGAAUCAAAUUUCAAAGCUGGAUUGAAAGUCAUGAAGAGGAAGGAUAAGCAGAAAUGAAGGAAAAAGAGAAUUAUAGGAGUCAAAUGAGCAGUUGAUUAUUGAAAAGAGAAUCUUCUGCUGUUUGAAUAAAGACCAAAGGGCUUUCAUUGUUGGCUCCCCACAGGACUGUGCCUUUUUGAGCUGCACAUCCCAAGAUCAAGAAACCAGAAGGAGCUCAGACUUUAACUAAUUAGCACUCAUGAAAAUUUACUAACCGUCAACAGCAAAUUUACUAGGCAAUUUCAUUUCCAAAGCAUGUUGGCACAUAUCACAGGUCUGUUAAAGACUGAGGCUUAAGACAUGGAAACAACCUAAAUGUCCAUCGAGAGAUGAUUGCAUUCAGAAGAUGUGGCAUAUAUACACAAUGGAAUACUACUCAGCCAUCAAAAAG
This is a non-coding RNA of Sus scrofa (pig), 898 nucleotides long. NCBI's taxonomy places the organism in Eukaryota, Metazoa, Chordata, Mammalia, Artiodactyla, Suidae. The record is from RefSeq and is a predicted model, not a curated record.